RNAcentral lists this long non-coding RNA (642 nucleotides) under Meleagris gallopavo (turkey). RNAcentral describes it as "lncRNA (ENSMGAG00000017770.1)". Lineage: Eukaryota; Metazoa; Chordata; Aves; Galliformes; Phasianidae. The record is from RNAcentral.
UUAUCAUAUCUUGCAAAAUGGUAUUGUUUUGUACAGUUCUGAUUUAUUUAUCUUAAUCAUGGAUGCCUUUUUGAAAAGCUUGAUAGUGUUUUUAAGGAUCCUCCUCUUUAAAUUAGCAGACCAGGGAGUUACUUAAGAAGCCGACGUUCCUCUGCCUCCAGAAGUUGGAGAUUUACAAAAGACCUUCAAAAUCAGAGUAGCCGUAGGCAUGAGAAUGGACAACACACCAUUAUUAUAGAAUAUGACGUGUUUUAUUAGGAAACUGCUCACAGGAAAUCUGCUCAGACUACAGGACAGCUCCAAAGUGACAGCAAUAACCCAUCCCAGGCAAGACAAUGCAGUACACUGUAUUAUACAGCAUCGGGAGGCAACAGAUCGGCAGAGCACAGGAGAUCUCCAGGCUUCCAUCUGCAUAAUAAACUUCCUUGCCUGAAUACAAAAGAGUUCUUGGCUUCAAUGCUGGUUGUGUUGCUGACCUCCAGUGGUUGCUCCUUCCUUGAUGGCACGAAGGACAUGCACAGAACCUGCAGUGUCAAUGAACUUGCAACCACGAUUAACGGAAGGUUUCGCGUCUUUCAAGAAAGACUUUGCAUUUCUGAUCCCAUUCUGCCAACUGUUGUUUGUCCUCUGGCUCUUGGCUGA